Gadus macrocephalus (Pacific cod) is the source of this 2195-nucleotide long non-coding RNA. RefSeq lists it as uncharacterized. NCBI's taxonomy places the organism in Eukaryota, Metazoa, Chordata, Actinopteri, Gadiformes, Gadidae. The transcript has 2 exons. The record is from RefSeq and is a predicted model, not a curated record.
CCUAAAUUGGGUACCAAGCGGUCUGAAAGGGCUUUUAAUUUCUGAUUGAAGAAAUUAAGUUUGGGAGUGAUGACGUAUAACCACCAUAGGGGCUAGUGAAAAGAAGAGAAAACGACAUCGAGCUGAACGCUCCUAUCAUCACGGUGUCUCAUUAAGUUAAAAACGACAUAACUUGCAUUAGAAGAAGACAGAAAAGGUCGGAAGAAGUCACGGUUAAACACAGAAACCAACCAUAAGCGUGAGUAUACCGCAUACCGAACCGUGUGUAUGAGCAUUAAUGUCAGUAGCUACGAAGAGCUAUUAAGAGAGUUAGCCCAUGCAUUGUUAAAAUACCUCCACCAGCAGCAUUGCCUCAGAUAGCACCCUCAUUAAGUGUGAUGGCUUGAGAAAACACGAGUUACAAUUACAGAAAUAAUUGUGAGCGAUAUCGAUCAGUUUGAUUUUCUAAAUUGACAUAGGCCUAUCGAAACUAAUCUUCGAGGCCCAUUCGUGUUAGAUCGAGGGGAGAGAGGCCUUGGCGGGCCCGAGGGCCAACACGCCACGAGCACGACUUUACCUUAUUUCAAUCGAGCCAAUGUGGUAGAUUUAUCUUUUACCCUUCGAUAAAUAUUUAAUUGACAUGUUAUCCAAACUUUAUUACUGCUAACUAUAGUUCAUGACUUACCUCUUCUACUUGGCGUCUAAGGGCGAAUGACAUCUUAGGAACUUUAACAGAUAGUUCAUUGAUACGAGACAUUUUGACUUACCCAGUUUCCCGAUAACAUCAUUGAACGCAUUCUGAAGUCACAUUGAUGUUUGUGUGUGUGUGUGUGUGUGUGUGUGUGUGUGUGUGUGUGUGUGUGUGUGUGUGUGUGUGUGUGUGUGUGUGUGUGUGUGUGUGUGUGUGCGUGUGCGUGUGCGUGUGUGUGUGCGCGCGCGCCCGUGCGUUGGAUGUUAUAUUAUCAUGGAGCGUCACUGCGUCAGCAAUCAAAAAAAUCUUAUUAAGUGUGGUUGCAUGAAGUAAGUAUAAAGCUAUAUCUUCUUGGUUUAUGCAUGCUUUUUUAAGGCCCCUUCACAUAAAUAUGAAGCAACAUAUACUCAACAUUUUAAUACAAAGCCUUGUUGCAGGAGACCCCAGAUCUUGGAACAAAAAGAUCGCAAAAAAUAUAUAUUUUGCAUCAUUGCGUCUGGUAGAAAAUUGAACCAGCUCCAUAGGUGUGUGUGAUGCUUAAACUACCCUGAGUUGGACAUAAGUUAAUCAUAGAUGCAUAUUAAUGCAUAUGUUCACAUGCAUGUGCAACACUGAACAGUAUAAUAAUCAACCUUUUCACAUUCAAUUAUCAUAAAUAUUUGUUUUCCCUAAAACUACUUCAGUUGAAUGCAUGACAAUGUUAGGAUUUUGCAGCAGGUGGCAGUCUAGGACCAAAACCCAACCGGUCAAACCCACCAGACUUCGGGGCCCUGAUUUGAACCCUGUAGUGCCACCCACAGGCCAAAGCUGGGCCUACAUUAGUGCUCUAAAGUUUAAAACAUUGCCUGUUUGUUAUUUUUCCUUUCUGCUCUAUUUCUUUUCCAUGCUGAGAACAACACACUAUUCAGUCAUGCAUUUGUGCUUCUAUGUCGAUUUUAAAAAACUUGUCAGAGACUGAUGCUUAGUGUCCUCUGGCCUAUUGUUGGUCUGUUGGUUUACGGCCUGAUAACACAUGCUCAUUGAAUCAGGGACUUGCGCCGGGUGCAGGUGAAGAAGAUUUGUUCUAAGCCACAAGUGAAUGUCCUCAAAUGGAAUAGAUCAUAUUCAUAACAACAACAGUCAAUCCAUAAUAAUGUAGUUUGCACAAAAUAAAGGAUAUGUCCAGUCGUUUAGCUUUUUGGACAUCUUGCCCUUCGGACCUUCACGCAGUCUCCUGUGCUAAAUUUAAAGUGGCCCGAGCCUUAAAAGGUUGUGACGGUGUCUUGGACAUUCUGCCGAGUGGCAGCAUUAUUUUUGUUCUGUGGACUGUCGUCCUGUCCACUGCCCUGCACCCGAGCUCCUUUACCCCAAUCUGGACUGGUUUUAGUUUCCUUUUGGACUAGUACCUCGCAAUUUCUCUUGCUUUUCUUCAACUGAUUUAUUGUUUUGUUGGUGUGGAGCAGAGCCCCCCACCCCCCAUCCCCCCGAGGAUGUCCGGAUCAGUGCAUCAGUUGGAGACGCGCCAACGCCAGCAGCACUUUCAGGA